This 668-nucleotide long non-coding RNA is filed under the name Pan troglodytes (chimpanzee). Its description in RNAcentral is "long non-coding RNA NONPTRT008272". Lineage: Eukaryota; Metazoa; Chordata; Mammalia; Primates; Hominidae. The record is from RNAcentral.
CCCGCCCCAAGUCUCCAACGUGUUCUGGCCAGUUUAAACCCCACUGCGAACCGGGGAAGUGGCCUUAUUCCUGUGACACGGGUGAGAGCUGAAGUAGGUCUCGGUCCCUGGCCGCCAGGAGGUGCAAGCAAGCUACCACUACUGCAGACGCUCCAGGCCCGCCCGCUGUGGGUGGGACUGGGGAGAGGACCCCAUCUCGGCCUUGGCACCUUCUACUACAACGCAGACAGGAAUAGACAACUGCCUCACCCUGCUCUGGGCCUCCCCUGAGCUAGACCCUCUUUUACCAGGCCCCUUCGUGAUCUCAUUCCUCAGGGAGCAGUUCUCACUUCCCCUAUCCCAGAGGACAGAGGGACUCGGCAGUGAAAGAGGGAACCAACUGUCCAAACGCAUGACUAGAACAAAGCCUCCAGAAGACAGACAAGGCCCCAUUUCCAAAUAUCAUCACAAUGAAGAUUAGGGCUUCAACAUACGAAUUUUAGAGGACACAAUUCAGUCCAUAGCAACGAUGCAUAGAAGACAAGGCAAUAUGAAGUGAGAACAGAGGUAUUUGAAGCUGUCAGCCUUCAAGACUGGAGUGAUGCAGUGACAAGCCGAGGCCACCAGAAACUGGAAGAAGCAAGGAAGGAUCCUCUCCUGGCCUUCAGAACUUUGACAGAAUAAAGUUU